This is a long non-coding RNA of Betta splendens (Siamese fighting fish), 3072 nucleotides long. The record is from Ensembl. NCBI's taxonomy places the organism in Eukaryota, Metazoa, Chordata, Actinopteri, Anabantiformes, Osphronemidae.
AUGUUCCUGUCGUCGCUCAGUCAAGCCAAGUUCACGUUCCUGUCGUCGCUCAGUCAAGCCAAGUUCACGUUCCUGUCGCUGUUCAGUCGAACCCAGCUCACGUUCCUGUCGCUGCUCAGUCGAACCCGGCUCACGUUCCUGUCGCUGCUCAGUCGAACCCAGCUCACGUUCCUGUCGCCGCUCAGUCGGCCCCAGCUCACGUUCCUGUCGCUGCUCAGUCGAGUCAAGCUCACUCCCCUGUUGCCACUCAGGCAGAUCCAGUCCCUGCUCCAGACGCCGCUCAGGCAGAUCCAGCUCCUGUUCCAGACACCAGCUCAUCGGACCCAAGUCCAUGCCCACGCUACCGCCAUAGUUCCCCAGUCCAGUUCAGUCUGUACCGUGGCCCCGGCUCCUGCUUCAGCCCUGGCGGUUGAGGAGGUGAAGCCCACAGCUAGUCGUCGGAGGUCCAGACGGCGUCGACGACGGCCGGAUUCCCCUGUCCAGGCUCCAGAGGACUCGGCCACAGAAAUCAAGCGGCCCUCUCCGCCAGCAGAGGGCACUCUCGCUCCAUCAUACGACAUGCCCAUCUCCAUCGCAGGCAUCCCGGACAGCAUCUUCCGGCGGAUCCGUGCCCAAUGCGCCCCUCCGGUCCUGUUCCUGUUUGCACACUGGCUGAACUCCGCUGAGGCAGAGACCGACCCGGUAAUCAAGGAGCGUCACUUCCGUGAAGCCGCCCUGCUCAUCGCCCGGAAGCCUGCGCUGCGCGAGGCCCUGGGUUUCAUUGAACCCCCGUCAGAGCCUGCACCCGUUCCUGCAUCAGAGCCUGCACCCGUUCCUGCAUCAGAGCCUGCACCCGCUCCUGCAUCAGGGCCUGCACCCGCUCCUGCAUCAGAGCCUGCACCCGCUCCUGCAUCAGAGCCUGCACCCGCUCCAGCGUCUAAGCCUGCAUCACUGGCCCCAGCGUCUAAGCCUGCAUCACUGGCCCCAGCGUCUAAGCCUACAUCACUGGCCCCAGCGUCUAAGCCUACAUCACUGGCCCCAGCGUCUCUGGCUGCUUCACUGGCCCCAGCGUCUCUGGCUGCAUCACUGGCCCCAGCGUCUCUGGCUGCAUCACUGGCCCCAGCGUCUCCUGCGUCUCUGGCUGCAGCAACUCCCGCCCUAGCCUUACCUCAGUCAUGCCAAGCCUCAGCCCAGCCUGCAGCAGCUCAAGCCUCAGCCCAGCCUGCAGCAGCUCAAGCCUCAGCCCAGCCUGCGGCAGCUCAAGCCUCAGCCCAGCCUGCAGCAGCUCAAGCCUCAGCCCAGCCUGCGGCAGCUCAAGCCUCAGCCCAGCCUGCGGCAGCUCAAGCCUCAGCCCAGCCUGCAGCAGCUCAAGCCUCAGCUCAGCCUGCAGCAGCUCAAGCCUCAGCUCAGCCUGCAGCAGCUCAAGCCUCAGCUCAGCCUGCAGCAGUUCAAGCCUCAGCUCAGCCACGUCAAGCUCAAGCCUCAGCUCAGCCUCGUCAAGCUCAAGCCUCAGCUCAGUCACGUCAAGCUCAAGCCCCAGCUCAAGCUCAAGCCUCGGCUCCGCCACGCCAAACUCAAGCUCCAUCUUUACGCCAGCUAGCGGACACCCCUGGCCAGUCACACCAGGCCUCAGUUCCUGUUCCUGUCGGCCAUAUUGAGGCCGUUCCUGUUUCUGUCGGCCAUAUUGAGGCCGUCCCAGUCCCUGUUCUCGUCUGCCAUAUUGAGGCCGUCCCAGUCCCUGUUCUCGUCGGCCAUAUUGAGGCCGUUCCAGUCCCUGUUCCCGUCGGCCAUAUUGAGGCCGUUCCAGUCCCUGUUCCCGUUGGCCAUAUUGAGGCCGUUCCAGUCCCUGUUCCCGUCGGCCAUAUUGAGGCCGUUCUAGUUCCUGUCGGCUCCUCGGAGGAGGACGCCGUUCUAGUUCCUGUCGGCUCCUCGGAGGAGGACGCCGUUCUAGUUCCUGUCGGCUCCUCUGAGGAGGACGCCGUUCCAGUUCCUGUCGGCUCCUCUGAGGAGGACGCCGUUCCAGUUCCUGUCGGCUCCUCUGAGGAGGACGCCGUUCCAGUUCCUGUCGGCUCCUCGGAGGAGGACGCCGUUCUAGUCCCUGUCGGCUCCUCGGAGGAGGACGCCGUUCUAGUUCCUGCCACUGUCGGCUCCUCGGAGGCCGCAGUUCCCGACGAUCCCCAGGUGGGGGUCGCUCCCGCCGCAGCACCUGUGGCAGCCCCUGCCGACCUCCCGGAGGAGGUCGGUCCAGCUCUGUCUCCUGCCGACCUCCCGGAGGAGGUCGGUCCAGCUCUGUCUUCUGCCGACCUCCCGGAGGAGGUCGGUCCAGCUCUGUCUCCUGCCGACCUCCCGGAGGAGGUCGGUCCAGCUCUGUCUCCUGCCGACCUCCCGGGGGAGGUGGUCGGCCCGCUCCUGGUCCCUGUGGUUUUUGUGCCAAUGUGUGCAGGUGCAGUUCCUGGUGGUCCGGUCCCGGACACGCUCGUCUCUGCUCCUGGUGGCCCGGUCCCGGACACGCUCGCCUCAGCUCCUGGUGGUCCGGUCCCGGACACGUCUGUCUCCGCUCCUGGAGGCCCGGUGCCGGCCACGUCUGCAUCGGUUCCUGGUGGUCCGGCUCCGGCCACGUCACCACGUCUGUCUUCGCCUCUGGUUCCUGCCUCGUCUCCACGUCUGUCUUCGCCUCUGGUUCCUGCCUUGUCUCCACGUCUGUCCCCGUCGCUGUUCCCGGCUUUCCGCCGGCUCUCGCCUCACCUGCCUGACGGAGGGUCAGGUCCUUGGCGCAUCCUGUGGCGGGGAUGGCGCUGCCUCCUGCGUCGUCGGCCGCCUCGACUGGCCGGUUCCGGAUGUGACUCCCUGGCUGGAGGUCGCUGUUUACUGCCACGACGAUGGCGCGGCCUCUGCCGUUGCCGACCACCACGCCUCCUCAGCCCCCUAGAGCACCGCCGGGCUGGAGAGCACCAGCACAUGGGUUGGACCGCUGGAGGCGUCGUGUUUCGACGUCGGCCUCCUAGAACUCUAGCCUUGUCUUCGGGCAUAAGAUGUGCCGUCUCGGCCUGGCGGCUGCACGGCCGAGACUCUCCGCGCAUCCACCCUCCUUGA